CAUAAUAAAAUGUUUUAAUGGAGAAGAGUGUCGUGCCUCCACCACUUUUUAUGGAUCAUGUAAUAUCAUAGAAUGUAAAAAGUGAACAGCCCGCUACACAAGCAUUUAGAUAGGUAUUACUGUUGGAGCUAGAAACACAAGCAUUUAGGUAGGUAUUACAGUACUGUUGGAGCAAGAAACACAAGCAUUUAGCUAGGUAUUACAGCACUGUUGGAGCAAGAAACACAAGCAUUUAGCUAGGUAUUACUGUUGGAGCUAGAAACACAAGCAUUUAGCUAGGUAUUACUGUUGGAGCUAGAAACACAAGAAUUUAGCUAGGUAUUACUGUUGGAGGUAGAAACACAAGCAUUUAGCUAGGUAUUACUGUUGGAGCUAGAAACACAAGCAUUUAGCUAGGUAUUACAGUACUGUUGGAGCAAGAAACACAAGCAUUUAACUAGGUAUUACUGUUGGAGCUAGAAACACAAGCAUUUAGCUAGGUAUUACAGUACUGUUGGAGCAAGAAACACAAGCAUUUAGCUAGGUAUUACUGUUGGAGCUAGAAACACAAGCAUUUAGCUAGGUAUUACUGUUGGAGCUAGAAACACAAGCAUUUAGCUAGGUAUUACAGUACUGUUAUAGCUAGAAACACAAGCAUUUAGCUAGGUAUUACUGUACUGUUGGAGCUAGAAACAUAAGCAUUUAGCUAGGUAUUACUGUUGGAGCUCGAAACACAAGCAUUUAGAUAGGUAUUACUGUACUGUUGGAGCUAGAAACAUAAGCAUUUAGCUAGGUAUUACUGUUGGAGCUCAAAACACAAGCAUUUAGCUAGGUAUUACAGUACUGUUGGAGCUCGAAACACAAGCAUUUAACUAGGUAUUACAGUACUGUUAUAGCUAGAAACACAAACAUUUAGCUAGGUAUUACUGUACUGUUGGAGCUAGAAACAUAAGCAUUUAGCUAGGUAUUACUGUUGGAGCUCGAAACACAAGCAUUUAGAUAGGUAUUACUGUACUGUUGGAGCUAGAAACAUAAGCAUUUAGCUAGGUAUUACUGUUGGAGCUCAAAACACAAGCAUUUAGCUAGGUAUUACAGUACUGUUGGAGCUCGAAACACAAGCAUUU
This 1103-nucleotide long non-coding RNA is filed under the name Salmo salar (Atlantic salmon). RNAcentral's name for it is "lncRNA (ENSSSAG00000108088.1)". The record is from RNAcentral. Lineage: Eukaryota; Metazoa; Chordata; Actinopteri; Salmoniformes; Salmonidae.